AUACGGAGGGUGCAAGCGUUAAUCGGAAUUACUGGGCGUAAAGCGCGCGUAGGCGGCUUUGUAAGUCGGAUGUGAAAGCCCUGGGCUUAACCUGGGAAUGGCAUUCGAUACUGCAUAACUAGAGUAUGGUAGAGGGAAGUGGAAUUUCCGGUGUAGCGGUGAAAUGCGUAGAUAUCGGAAGGAACACCAGUGGCGAAGGCGACUUCCUGGGCCAAUACUGACGCUGAGGUGCGAAAGCGUGGGGAGCAAACAGGAUUAGAUACCCCAGUAGUCC
RNAcentral lists this ribosomal RNA (274 nucleotides) under uncultured bacterium. RNAcentral's name for it is "partial 16S ribosomal RNA". It matches the Rfam family "Bacterial small subunit ribosomal RNA", at positions 523 to 796 of the family's 1533-position model. The record is from RNAcentral.